GUGCAUCUAUUAGACAGACCUAGAGCAGUUACUGUCUGCUGCUAAGGUUUCCACUACAGAUGUGAGAAAAAGGUAUUCCCAUGUUUCUGUCUGAUUGUGCCAGCCAAGAUGGAAUGGUAGAAUACAGAA
This 129-nucleotide small nucleolar RNA is filed under the name Microcebus murinus (gray mouse lemur). RNAcentral describes it as "Small nucleolar RNA SNORA31 (ENSMICG00000026187.3)". Lineage: Eukaryota; Metazoa; Chordata; Mammalia; Primates; Cheirogaleidae. The record is from RNAcentral.